UGCGUAGGUGGUUUGUUAAGUUGGAUGUGAAAGCCCCGGGCUCAACCUGGGAACUGCAUCCAAAACUGGCAAGCUAGAGUACGGUAGAGGGUGGUGGAAUUUCCUGUGUAGCGGUGAAAUGCGUAGAUAUAGGAAGGAACACCAGUGGCGAAGGCGACCACCUGGACUGAUACUGACACUGAGGUGCGAAAGCGUGGGGAAGCAAACA
This 208-nucleotide ribosomal RNA is filed under the name uncultured bacterium. RNAcentral describes it as "partial 16S ribosomal RNA". It matches the Rfam family "Bacterial small subunit ribosomal RNA", at positions 568 to 774 of the family's 1533-position model. The record is from RNAcentral.